Molecule: ribosomal RNA, 458 nt
Filed under: uncultured bacterium
Lineage: Bacteria
Description: partial 16S ribosomal RNA
Rfam family: Bacterial small subunit ribosomal RNA
Source: RNAcentral
CCUACGGGAGGCAGCAGUGGGGAAUAUUGCACAAUGGGGGAAACCCUGAUGCAGCGACGCCGCGUGAGGGAAGAAGUAAUUCGUUACGUAAAGCUCUAUCAGCAGGGAAGAAACACUGACCGUACGGUCAGCAGACGGUACCUGAGUAAGAAGCGCCGGCUAACUACGUGCCAGCAGCGGCGGUAGUACGAAGGGGGCAAGCGUUAUGCGGAUGGACUGGGUGUAAAGGGAGCGUAGACGGUGUGGCAAGUUUGGCGUGAAAGGCCGCGGCUUAACUGGGGAACUGCGUUGGACACUGGCGAACUAGAGUGCAGGAGGGGUAAGCGGAAUUCCUAGUGUAGCGGUGAAAUGCGUAGAUAUUAGGAGGAACACCAGUGGCGAAGGCGGCUUACUGGACCGUAACUGACGUUGAGGCUCGAAAGCGUGGGGAGCGAACAGGAUUAGAUACCCGUGUAGUC